AGCGAUGUGCUUCCGCCCGCGUGGGAAAAGUAGUCCCGACGCGGUGGUUAAAGUCCGGCUCCGAGCUGGCAGCGAGGGGAAGGGCCGCGGCGGGAGGGCGACGUACGGGCAGCGGGAGCGCUCCCGGGCCGUCUGCGGCUUUUUUUUUUGGGGGGGUUGGGGGCGGGCCGCGCUGAGGUGAGGUGCGGAGGGAUCCGAGCGGCCUGGGGCAGCGGCGAUGCGGCCCUGUGAGAGAGCUGGCGGCGGCUGAGCGGGCUGAGGGUACGCAGCGCGGCCGGCCCGGGGCGCUGCCGCCGGCAGGACAUCUUCCCUCAGCAAGGCCACCUGUGUCUGAUGGCAAGGGGCUGCUCAGUGAACUGAGAAGACGUGUGACUUCUGAAUGAAAGCAGUAACUGGCCCUCGGUUACUGGAAUCAUUUCAAGUGUUCUUUGUUCCUGACACCACAUGAAUUUUAGGGGGAGAGAAACCGAAUCUCAGGCUGCAGAGUUAUAGAAAUCUCUGGUGUUUGAGCCUUCUGAGUCCUUUCAACUUUGUCACCAAGACAGUGGAAGAUCCCCAGCUUCCCUUCUUCCCUGCGGUGCUCCCGAAGGGAAGAGCUGUGGGGUAGGAGCAGCUCUAUGAGGAGUCCAGAGAUUGCCAUAACCAGAGGUAUGGAGAACUUGGUGGCUGGCUCCACCCUUCCUCCACUUUUUGCAGAUGAAGAUGGAUCUAAGGAAGGUAGUGAUAUUACUGUGACUGGAGUAGCUCAUUCUGAGAGUUCAUUCACUGGUGGAGCUUCACAGUCUGUGAAUAACCCAGAUUUGGUGGAGGAUUUGUCACAGGUUCAGCAGCUGCAAAAUGAGUCUUCUAAUACUGCUGAAAACACUGAGCAGAAACCUGAGGAGGAGCAGCAAAGAACUAAACGAGGAGGCUGGGCCAAAGGGAGAAAGAGGAAGAAACCUCUUAGGGACAGCAAUGCCCCCAAAUCCCCCCUCACAGGGUAUGUGAGAUUCAUGAAUGAGCGUAGGGAGCAGCUUCGAGCGAAGAGGCCUGAAGUCCCUUUCCCAGAGAUCACCAGGAUGCUGGGCAAUGAAUGGAGUAAACUGCCUCCUGAGGAGAAACGGCGAUACCUUGAUGAAGCAGAUAGAGAUAAGGAGCGUUAUAUGCGGGAACUGGAGCAGUAUCAGAAGACUGAAGCCUACAAAGUCUUCAGCAGAAAAGCGCAGGACAGACAAAAAGGCAAAUCACACCGACAAGAUGGAGCAAGACAGCCAGUCCAUGAUCACGAGAAAGAAGCAGACACAAAAGAGAGAUCUGUUUUUGAUAUUCCAAUAUUCACAGAAGAGUUUCUGAAUCACAGUAAAGCACGUGAAGCUGAGCUGCGACAGCUGCGUAAAUCCAACAUGGAGUUUGAGGAGAGGAAUGCUGCUCUGCAGAAACAUGUUGAGAGUAUGCGUACUGCAGUGGAGAAACUGGAGGUGGAUGUGAUACAAGAGCGUAGCCGCAAUACAGUGUUGCAACAGCAUCUUGAGACCUUACGGCAGGCACUCACAACCAGCUUUGCUGGAGUCCCACUGCCAGGUAGCGGAGAAACACCUACAAUGGAAACUAUCGAUUCCUACAUGAAUAGGCUGCAUGGUAUUAUUAUGGCUAACCCACAGGAGAACGAGAACCUCAUAGCCACGGUCCGAGAUGUGGUGAACCGACUUGAACGCUAGUGACUGGACGCCUGCCGUUCAGAAGCUGACCUUUUCGGCUUCUUCCUUCUUGGCCUUCGGAAAUAUCUUCAGAUCUCUGGCAGACCUGGAGAAUCACACUGGUGCUCUGUCUCUGUUAAGGGACGGGAAGAUGCUGCUGCAGUACAGACAAGCCCACAGCCUUUAGAACAGUCCACACACCCAGACGUGUGAUGCUGGAAUCCAUACACGAGCCCGGGUAUUGCAUUGAUGCUUGCAGGCUCCGAGAAGAAAGGACGUGUUUGCCUCCGGGAAGAGGAUCCCUCUAGUUAGGAGCAGAGGAGAAAAAAGGCAAAAGCUGGUAAAGCUUUAGCACCUGCCUCAAGCAUAGUUCAGCUGAUGAGAAACACCGGUCAGUGCUCUCAGCAAGGGACCUGAUUCCAACCAUCAUGCUUGGACUGAGACAGGUAUGAGGUGUGAAUAGCACAGUGCUUUCUCCCCUUCAUGCUGGGCAUACUCUGCUACCUCCUGAUCUUGAUGCAGGACUCUUAUGAUUUCCAUACAACCAUCUCAUAUCAAAGCCAAGUGGAUAAAACCCCAUCUACAUCAGCAUCACAAGGAAACAUUCAGGCUAGAAUCCAACAACGCAAACGCCAGCCAGAAAGCUGCUGUUUUCUUCUUAACACUUGUUAUCAGUGAGCUGUGUAUGCUUGGGGAGCAAAGCACAGUGACAGUGCCUUGUCACACUGGCAAGACAGGGUCGUGUUCAGGACUGCGUAAGGUGAAGAGCACAAGAGUACAGCACCUUCAGCAGAGUGAAUCAGAACCUCGUGGGACCAGACCUUUAUCUUCUUGGCGGAUGCAACUAUCAAUUGAUAGCUCAGAGCGGAUGUUGCUGUCGUGGUCUGGUCCUUCGGUGGGAGAAAAACACCUCUGCUGCUUUGAAAAGGCGAUUCCUGGAGCCUGUGGCAGGUCAUGCUGCAUGUCGAGAACCAUUCAAGAAAACUCAUCUGGAGCAGCUGCGUGUCUCGUGGGUGCCCCUGGAGAGCUGGAGGCCAUGGACUAGGUGGCGUUUUUUUCCCUCAAAGCAGCAAGCCCUGACCCAUCAGUAGGAAGUUUCCCAAUGCUGCUCUGCUGCUGGCUUGAAAGUGAGAGCUCUGGGUGCAUGGACCCGCAGACACCUGGGACAUGAAGACAUUUUGCAGUUUUGCCUCAAGAGCAACCCAUCAGGCUUGCUGCGGAGCAGGAUGAAGAGCCUGCAGCUUCUUUCUGAGCUGCUCCUGCCUCUUUCUGCGUGGUAGCAGCUCUCUGCCAGGCUGGAGCCAUGCCCAGGAAUUCUCUUCGUGCGGAACCAAGGAGGAGAUUUGUUUGCUCCAAGGCAAACAGCCUGGCCCUGCCCAACGCACAUGAUGAGAUCUCUGGAGAGGCUGGUCACAGGGAGCAGAGCACCUGACGGGGACCCACGGCUGCCACCCUGGUUUAGGUCCCCCCAGAGCCCCCAGCUCCUGCGCAAACCCACCGAGAAACUCAGCUGGCAAACCUCAGGAGGAGAACAAUCUGCAGCUGGUCGCAGUGGCGGGGACACUGUGUUUUAGUUGAGCCAUGAAAAUUGCUGAGCCGAGAUGCUGGCCCCUCUAAAAUGCUUUUCUUCUGCUCCAUCCAUCUGCUUUAAUCACAUGGUGAAUGAAAAAAAAAAGAAAAAAAAAUCCAGUUCACAAAGCAUCGAAGAUUUAAAAAAAAAUUGACUGCAGGUAACAAACUGUGUGCAGGCGACAGUGCCGCGGAGCAGCGGGCAAACUCGCUAAUGAGGGACUUUGAGGUGUAGCUCGGGUGGCUUUCUCCAGGGCAGGGAGCAAGGAUGGAGGGGCUGGGGGUGCACAUGGGUCGUGGCGGUGCGUGGCAGGGCCCUGGGGCUUUGCAGGGAUGUGCGGAGGGUGGACUUGCCUUGGGAGCCCUCCAUGUGACGCACGGAGUGGGCACGGGCAGGGGGCUCGUGGCAGUGGCUUGCACGGGGAAAGGCAGGCUUGUGGCAUGUGUGUGUUGGGUGUUCGGUGUCCAGGAAGGGGCUGAGGGCUGGGAGAAAUGGUGUGGUAGCACAGCCAAGCCCUUUUGCACAAAGAAAGAAUUUUCUCUCUUUUUUAAAGCUUCUUUUUAACAGUGAAAGACUUGGUUCCUCCCUUUGAUUGCUGGGAUACUGCUGUAUGCUGCAAAUACCUUGUUGGACUUGGAUAUUAGUGCGUGUUUUUUUUUUUUUUUUUUAAUCUGUGUGUGUUGAAUUAGCUCUUUUAAUUACAGCAUUAAAAAAGGAUAACUGGAGUCAAUUAAAAAGCUCUUCCAGGCUGCCAGUGUUAAUAGCUGUCCAGGAACACAGAGACCCCCCUCCACCUCUCUGCCGUCUGCUGAACCGCCGAGUGAGUUAUUGUCAGUCCUGGCAGCAGAGCUCAAGCAGAGAUUUCUGCACCUCGUAUGUGGCUGGGCACAGCUUGCUCGGCUGUGCUCGGCUUGGCAUCGUCCUCUGCAGGGCUGAGGCUUUGCUACAGCCUGGCCCCGCGUCCCCUCCUCUCCUAGGACAGUGCCGCUCCGAAAUCGAAUGGGAUCUGCAUCUCGGACGGGGCCGGGAGCACCUGCCUGCAGCUUGUGAGUUGUUAUUUGUGGUUUCGUAUCGAGCUCGCUGAAAAUGAUGGUUAAACACAGGUGGGAGGGGAGGCUGGCAAGGAGGCUUUUUCCUUUGGCUCUUUUUAAAAGCAAAGCAAAAGGCUUCAAAAAGGGUUCGGCUUCAAAAUUGCAAAGGAAGGAUGGGUUGGAGAGGAGGAACUAAGAAAUCAAGCGUCUGAAACCUGCUGUGGAGAAAGCAAUGCAAAAUGUUUUGUUUCAAGGUGAAUGGAAAGCUGAAACCAGCAGAAAAUCCCCCCCUCCCUAUGAGCACAGAUGUUUCGGGUUGGUUUUUCUAGAUUAGCACAUUGCUGGAAGAAAAGAAAAUCCAUUCUUUCCUCUGUCGGCGCUCCAGGUUGCUGUCGCUUAUUUUUUUAUCACGUUGUAGUGACUUUGAUCUCUGAAGACUCCUUAAGUGCUUUACAAAUCAAGCAUGCAAAUCUGGGCUCAUCCACCUCUGAGAUGCCGCCAUGGCCAGGGCAUCCUGCCGGCGUGGUCCCAUGCUUCUGAAAACCUCCAGCACCCCGUGCACCUGUGUCACAGGGACAUUUUGUGCUUCCAACGCAGCCAGGAACUGGUGCGAAGGCCACUGGGCUGUGCUGUGGUCCCUGAGUGGUGCCAGCCCUGCUCCUCCCACGCAAAGGAGGUGGCUUUUGCCCCGCCCUGCACCCGAACUUCUGGGAAAUUGCCACAAACUGACCAGGAGCAGCUGAGCUGGUUUGAUGAAACGGGUUUUAUUUUCAAAGCUUGACUUGAAACACCUCUUUCCCCAUCAUACUCUCUCUAUAUCACUCUCUCCCCAUGUGUUUGCCCGUCUGGCUGGCAAUGCCACCAGGGACCCCUGUUCUUCUUUUCCAGGCAAUGCAGAUCUGCCAACACCGAGCACCAGAGCUGAGCGAAGGGAGGUCACUCCCAGGACCAGACACCAUGGUGAUGGGCACCCUGGGGCUAGCACUGGGGCAGGCGGCGCGAUGGCAGCCUGUGCCUCCUCCCUGCUGCAGCCCCGGGCCUGUUCUCCUCUGGCUUGGGCAGCGUGGAUGUGUGUGCAUUUAUAUAUGCAUGUAAUGAAGCUAAAUUCCCUCUGGGGAGUACCGAGGGGGCCAGGGCACUGCCUGCUUGUGCUGCAAGGUUUAAGGGCUGAGCUCACCACAGAGGUGGGCGUUUGGGGAAUCGGCUGGAAAAUACAGCUAGUCCUCAGCAAAAGUCCUCAUCUCGUAGCGAGAUGGCUGGGAAGUACCUCCGAGGUGACAGCGUCGGAGGGCGGGAACGGAGUACUCGCCAGUGAUACAGAGCUGGACAGAUCAAGAAGUCAAGAUUUUGCAUUCCAACUAUCUAUAGGAAAUAGGGUUUUUUUUAUUAUUUCAAGUUUUCAUAAAAAUCCAUAAUUAUUGAAAUCAAAGUUACAGAAGAAAGUUUGUAACUUUUUAUUGAUUUUAUUUCUUUUUUUUUUCUUUCUUCCCCCCCGUUGUUUUUCCCUCUUGGAGUUAUAUCUGACACCAGAGUCCAUCAGACAAAGUCUUU
Molecule: RNA transcript, 5828 nt
Organism: Cygnus olor (mute swan)
Lineage: Eukaryota; Metazoa; Chordata; Aves; Anseriformes; Anatidae
Gene: HMG20A
Gene name: high mobility group 20A
Exons: 23
Source: RefSeq, a predicted model, not a curated record